This 448-nucleotide ribosomal RNA is filed under the name uncultured organism. RNAcentral describes it as "partial 16S ribosomal RNA". It matches the Rfam family "Bacterial small subunit ribosomal RNA", at positions 335 to 797 of the family's 1533-position model. The record is from RNAcentral.
ACUCCUACGGGAGGCAGCAGUGGGGAAUUUUACGCAAUGGGGGAAACCCUGACGUAGCGACACCGCGUGAGCGAAGAAGCCCUUUGGGGUGUAAAGCUCUGUCAGCUGGAACGAAAACAAUGACGGUACCAGCAGAGGAAGCAUCGGCUAACUACGUGCCAGCAGCCGCGGUAAGACGUAGGAUGCGAGCGUUGUCCGGAUUUAUUGGGCGUAAAGAGUUCGUAGGUGGUUUGUUAAGUUUGGUGUUAAAGAUCGGGGCUCAACCCUGGGACUGCACUGAAUACUGGCAGACUCGAGUGUGGUAGAGGCUAGUGGAAUUCCCAGUGUAGCGGUGAAAUGCGUAGAUAUUGGGAAGAACACCGGUGGCGCAUGCGACUAGCUGGGCCAUAACUGACGCUGAGGAACGAAAGCCAGGGGAGCGAAUGGGAUUAGAAACCCCUGUAGUCCC